RNAcentral lists this ribosomal RNA (876 nucleotides) under Clostridium botulinum. RNAcentral describes it as "bacterial LSU rRNA". It matches the Rfam family "Bacterial large subunit ribosomal RNA", at positions 1275 to 2163 of the family's 2925-position model. The record is from RNAcentral. Lineage: Bacteria; Bacillati; Bacillota; Clostridia; Eubacteriales; Clostridiaceae.
GGACUGAUUACGAGUGAGAAUGUUGGCAUUAGUAGCGAGAUGUGGGUGAGAAUCCCACAGGCCGAAUACCUAAGGUUUCCUCAGGAAGGUUCGUCCGCUGAGGGUUAGUCGGGACCUAAGCUGAGGCCGAAAGGCGUAAGCGAUGGACAAUCGGUUGAUAUUCCGAUACCACUAUUAUCGUUAUUAUCGAUGGUGUGACGGAGAAGGAUAGGAUGUGCUAGCUAUUGGAUGCUAGUCUAAGCGUUUAGGGAGUUAGAAUAGGCAAAUCCGUUCUAACAAUUCUGAGGCGUGAUGGGGAAGGUUCUAAGGAACCGAAGUAUCUGAUUCCAUGCUUCCAAGAAAAGCAUCUAGAAAGAGAAAUAGUGCCCGUACCGCAAACCGACACAGGUAGGUGAGGAGAGAAUCCUAAGGCCGGCGGAAGAAUUGCAGUUAAGGAACUAGGCAAAUUGACCCCGUAACUUCGGGAGAAGGGGUGCCUGCGAGAGCAGGCCGCAGAGAAUAGGCACAAGCAACUGUUUAACAAAAACACAGGUCUCUGCUAAAGCGAAAGCUGAUGUAUAGGGGCUGACGCCUGCCCGGUGCUGGAAGGUUAAGGGGAACACUUAGCGUAAGCGAAGGUGUGAACUUAAGCCCCAGUAAACGGCGGCCGUAACUAUAACGGUCCUAAGGUAGCGAAAUUCCUUGUCAGGUAAGUUCUGACCCGCACGAAUGGCGUAAUGACUUGUGCACUGUCUCAACUGCAAAUCCGGCGAAGUUGUAGUGCGAGUGAAGAUGCUCGCUACCCGCGAUUGGACGGAAAGACCCCGUAGAGCUUUACUGUAGCUUAGCAUUGAAUUUCGGUAUUGUCUGUACAGGAUAGGUGGGAGACUGGGAAAU